Octopus bimaculoides (California two-spot octopus) is the source of this 127-nucleotide non-coding RNA. NCBI's taxonomy places the organism in Eukaryota, Metazoa, Mollusca, Cephalopoda, Octopoda, Octopodidae. The record is from Rfam.
UGGAAGUAAGAUACUCAGAUGUAAGUGAGACGUACAUUUGACACAAUAACUUCCUAGAUAAAAUACCUACUUUCUGAUGACUGUAGUGACUAAGUUCCCACUACAGACAGAUACGAAGUGGACAAUC